Molecule: long non-coding RNA, 875 nt
Organism: Gallus gallus (chicken)
Lineage: Eukaryota; Metazoa; Chordata; Aves; Galliformes; Phasianidae
Source: Ensembl
AGAACUCAGAAACUGAAGUCGAAGAAAUGCGACAAUCAGGCUCAGGACACACCUUUUCUGCCAGAAACUUGCUUUGCUCCAAUGUGAAUGAAUUCAUAGCUAUCUUUUAAAACAGUAAGAAUGGUGAGGCACUGAAACAGAUUGCCCGGAGAGGUGGUGGAUGCCCUGUCCCUGGAGGCACUCAAGGUCAAGCUGGACGGGGCUCUGAGAAACCUGGUGGAGCUGUACAGUUAGCAUAGACAACUGACUCCAGCAAAUCACUGUCAUAUUUCUGAUAGAAUUCAAGAGGACAACCACAAUGACUCAUCCCUCAAGGUGCUGGAAAAAUGCAUGCUGUGAGAAUGGAGAUGCUGGAGAAGUGGAUGGCUCCUUUAUUUGCUGGAGAGGUUCAGAUGAUAUCAGUAAUGAAUGUCUGCUGGGAAGAAGACAGAAAGAACGAGCAUUUGCAUUUGCCAGUGUGCCUGCGAGGCAAUGAAGAACAGAAGCUGUUAUCCAGCGACGCCACAUGGACUGAAAUAUAUGCUUAAAUACUCUGAAUUAGGUUGGUUUCCUGACAAGCAAGGCAAUGCACUUAGGUGUGUGCUUAAAUUUAAAUAUGUUGUUAAGUCCUAUUCAUGCCAAAGAAAUCUAAGCAUGUGCUUAAAGUUGAGAAGUUUACUGAAUUGUGGCAAAACUGAGAGGCCUUUGUAGAAUUAAUUAAUCUAUCUGAACUACUUUUUAUGUAUGUGACCCAAAGAGAACUAUAUGGCUUCUGUGUGAUUUUUAAACAUAUCUUUCAGUUAAAUCAAGGGUCCAGACACAAAUGGUAGUACACAUUAUAUGGAUUUAUGACAUUCCCUGGAGGAUUCUGGGUCAAUAAAGCAGUGAAUGGAUGG